AGAUUUCCCAGGAACAACAGAGAUAAUUUGUCUGCUGCACUGGGCUCUGGUGACUGGGUGGCUUGUAGACUAGGCCCACGGCCUUUCACCUCAUCCUGCUCUUGCCUGCUGGUUCUCCCAGCCAUGCCGAUUAGAAGCGAGAGAAAUUAAGAUCUCCCCCUCGCCUCCCACCGCCAUAGGCUGCAGGAGUAGGUUGCAGGCAACUUUGAAGGUAGGCGGAAACUGUCCAUGAGGGGAUGGGAACCUAGUCUCCCCCUAGCGCGGAGGCCAGCCUGGCGUGGGUGAUCACACAGCUGCUAGUUUGGAAGAAUUUGUUCAAAGCAAGGAACUUCUGCCCACAGUCAUCCCUUCCAUCUCUCCACUUCUACCCUUGGGCCUAAGACUUCACUGCCUCAGCUGUUGAGGAGUAGACUUCUCUUGACAUCAUUAAUGUGCCCAAGAUGCCCUGUUUGCACAUAUUUGUGUGCCUUCCAAUUAAAAUGAUUCAUUAAACCUCUGGUGGAGUUCAUUUUUAUUCUGCAAUAAGAACACUCAAAUAAAUACAUUCAGCCAUGGAAAGAAUCCUUUGAGCAAGCCCAUGUCCUAAUUUUGGUUUGGGGAAUCUAGUCCUGAAGUUGUCAUCUGGGAAUGUGCUGAAGAGACUGGAGGCCAGUUUUGCAAGGGAGCUGAGCAGGCCGACCUGACUCUGGCUACUUGGAGUGGGGCUGAGCAGCUUGGCUCUGUCCGGCCCUGGGGACAGCAUGGCAGCUCCUGAGGACUCCGCAGGCCCUGCAGCCCUGUGGCCCAGAAGCAGGGGCUCCCUCUCUCCUUUGGGAGAUCGUUGUGGAAUGUAGUUAACAUCAGCCUCAGCAAACACCACACUCCGCAUACCGUGAUGCUGCCUGGGGACAACCCGCAGCUAUAGUUUCCAUCCUGAGUGACUGGGAAGUAGCAUGUGUCACUCCCAACCGUGGGUCUCCACAGAGGAGGCCAAGUGGCUACUGGAUGCACCUGGAUGGGGCUCACGCCCAGUCUGUUCCGGGCUCUGUGACCUGAUGAUUUGGGGGUCCUUGAUGCCCCUCUGAGUUGCAGUUGUUUUCCAGUGGAAGACAUCUCUCAGAAACCUACCAUGCUACCCAAUUUGUAUUUCUAAGUCUUGCCAGCAAUCCCACUCAUUCCUGUUUUACAGACAAGGAGAUUGUUGCUCAGAGAGAUUCAUUGACUUGACC
Bos taurus (domestic cattle) is the source of this 1208-nucleotide long non-coding RNA. The record is from Ensembl. NCBI's taxonomy places the organism in Eukaryota, Metazoa, Chordata, Mammalia, Artiodactyla, Bovidae.